This 2378-nucleotide long non-coding RNA is filed under the name Homo sapiens (human). Its description in RNAcentral is "HSALNT0385471". The record is from RNAcentral. Lineage: Eukaryota; Metazoa; Chordata; Mammalia; Primates; Hominidae.
GAGGGGCAGUGUCCCUACCCAGGCUUGGAGGAGGAGCCUCAAGGGGUGUGUGUGGUUGGGGGAGACAGGCGGUGUCACCUGUGCUUAGACCAGGGGCGGUGGGCGGGUACCCUUGAGGUGGCAAGGUCACACUGCUCAUCAGAAGUUUCUCACUAGGGUCUUCUCUGGCCCAGCCUUUGACUGAAGCUGGUCUGGAGACAGGGGCGUUAGAGAAGUGACUCAUAGAUGGCCUAAAUAAGCGGGGCCACUCAAGGACCCAGGACAGGGGGAAGAGGGCCAACCCAUCUGGACCGCAGGCAAACCCCAUGGCCUUUGAGAGAAGAGAGAAGAGGACCCGGUGAAGCUUUUCCUCCAGGAGCUGCACCAGGAACUCACAGAGGAUCAGGGAGAAUUCUGAGAACAUGCUACUGUGGUGCUGCCUAGAGAGGAAGGAUAAAUGAUGACAAGUACAUCUCUGAGUAACGUAUGGGCACUUGUUCAUGAAAACUGUUUUUCUGAAAGCUUGUGAAGGUCUUGAAAUACUCGCUAUCAGUUGAGGACAAACAUUUACACCCUCCUUCCACAGGGAGUUCAAGCAGGCUGGAUGGGUCCAUCUAUGGAUGAUCUUCCCCAGCCCCUUCCUCUUCCCAGCUCAUCCCUGGCUCUCUGUGUGAACAGGUCUCAUCAGUGGAAUGUGGUUGAUGAAGUGAGGUCUUCAAUUUUCUCAUCUACUGUGUGGUCAUGUUAUUUUCCUCAUCUGAGGCUUAAAAACUCACCUGCAUGCAGCACAUGACAGCUUAAAAUCUCUUGUGAACAAAACAGUAACAAAGACACCCACCAGCGUUGAGCAUCCCGUGUUGAUGACAGCGACCACCAGGGGUCAACGUCCUCUUCACAAUCCUGUGUCAGAGCAUCACUUGACUGAUUUCAUUAGCAACUUCCCAGGAGAAUCAGCUUACAAAAUACUUGUCCCAUUUUCCAUGCAGAUGUAACCCAUCUAUUUUACUGAAGAAAUGGGAAGAGCUGAAUGCUGAAUACACUGAAUGUCUGCAGGUUGUGCAAGUUUGUGACUUUAUCACUUUCUAAUUUCUGAUCUGUGUGGACCACUCUACAGAUUUUUCUCACUGGUGUGAUCAGCCUUCUGGAUGUCAAAUAUAAUAGACUUUCAAUAAUAUAAAAGUCAACACAAGCUCCUCAUGGUUUCAGUGCUCAGUGAUGACUCUAAACUUACACAAUGUGUUUCUUUAUUAGUUUUGUUUUCUGGUAUCUCUACUCGGCAUCUUCACCACACCCAUUUUAUGUUUCUUAUACAGGCUUUCUUCUAUGAAAUGCUAUGUCAUGAAUAUGCAAAUAACCUGAGAUCCACUGAGGUAAAUUUGGAUGUCUGUGCCCUGAGAGCAUCACCCAACAACCACAUCCCUCCUCUAUAGAAGCCCCUGAGAACACAGCUCCUCACCAUGGACUGUACCUGGGGGAUCCACUUCUUGGUGGCAGCUGCCACAGGUGUCCAUUCCCAGGUUCAGCUGUUGCAGCCUGGGGCUGAGGUGAAGAAGCCUGGGUCCUCAGUGAAGGUCUCCUGCCAGGCUUCCAGAUACACCUUCACCAAAUACUUUACACGGUGGGUGUGACAAAGCCCUGGACAAGGGCAUAGUGGAUGGGAUGAAUCAACCCUUACAAUGAUAACACACACUAUGCACAGACGUUCUGGGGCAGAGUCACCAUUACCAGUGACAGGUCCAUGAGCACAGCCUACAUGGAGCUGAGCAACCUGAGAUCUGAAGACAUGGUCAUGUAUUACUGUGUGAGAGACACAGUGCAAAAACCCACAUCCUGAGAGUGUCAGAAACCCCAGGAAGGAGACACCUGUGCUGACACAGAGGAGAUGACAAAGAUUAUUAGAUUAAAGAUUUGCUUAGAAAAUGACAUUAAGUCAUUAAAGAAAAGGAACAAUAUUAAUGUGUAUUUGAGAAAUUUUAAUUAUUUGAGAGAUUUUUCAUACAACAUUUAUUCUGUAAACAAAUUUCAAUGAUUAGAGAAUUAAUCAAAUUAAUGAAACUAAUAUAGAACUUCCUCUGAAGGUAUCUCUGUAAACAUUAAUUUCUUAAUCAGUGCUGUAAGUAUUUUGGAAUACAGACACAAAAUCACAUUUUAAGUCUGCAUUUAUAUCUAUUAAAAAUGCCAAAAAAAUCUCCUUUUGUGCGUGUAGCAUUUUGAAUUCCCACCAUCAAUGCAUGAUAGUUCUUGGUUUUCCACAUUCAUAUUGCCAUGUAUCCUUAUGAGAGUUGUGUGUUUUAACCAAUCUAGUAGGUGAGUAAUGGGAUCUAAUUUUUAUUUAAAUGCACAUGUCCCUCAAAAAGUUCAUAUUUAACAAUUUUCCAAUAACUUUUGUUGAGAUGCCU